RNAcentral lists this ribosomal RNA (254 nucleotides) under uncultured bacterium. RNAcentral describes it as "partial 16S ribosomal RNA". It matches the Rfam family "Bacterial small subunit ribosomal RNA", at positions 524 to 776 of the family's 1533-position model. The record is from RNAcentral.
UACAGAGGUCUCAAGCGUUGUUCGGAUUCAUUGGGCGUAAAGGGUGCGUAGGUGGCGCUGUAAGUCAGGUGUGAAAUUUCGGAGCUUAACUCCGAAACUGCAUUUGAUACUGCGGUGCUCGAGGACUGGAGAGGAGACUGGAAUUUACGGUGUAGCAGUGAAAUGCGUAGAGAUCGUAAGGAAGACCAGUGGCGAAGGCGGGUCUCUGGACAGUUCCUGACACUGAGGCACGAAGGCCAGGGGGAGCAAACGGG